GACGAACGCUGGCGGCGCGCCUAACACAUGCAAGUCGAACGGAGCUUGCUUGUCAGAUCCUUUCGGGGUGACGACUUGUAAGCUUAGUGGCGAACGGGUGAGUAACACGUGAGUAACCUGCCCCAGAGUGGGGGACAACAGUUGGAAACGACUGCUAAUACCGCAUAAGCCCACAGAACCGCAUGGUUCUGGGGGAAAAGAGCAAUUCGCUUUGGGAUGGACUCGCGUCCGAUUAGCUGGUUGGUGAGGUAACGGCCUACCAAGACGACGAUUAGUAGCCGGACUGAGAGGUUGAACGGCCACAUUGGGACUGAGAUACGGCCCAG
This 326-nucleotide ribosomal RNA is filed under the name uncultured bacterium. Its description in RNAcentral is "bacterial SSU rRNA". It matches the Rfam family "Bacterial small subunit ribosomal RNA", at positions 28 to 334 of the family's 1533-position model. The record is from RNAcentral.